This is an RNA transcript of Vespula vulgaris, 1477 nucleotides long. RefSeq lists it as uncharacterized. The transcript has 5 exons. The record is from RefSeq and is a predicted model, not a curated record. Lineage: Eukaryota; Metazoa; Arthropoda; Insecta; Hymenoptera; Vespidae.
GUUCGUAAAUCGUGACAAUAGUACUGAAAAAGAAAUAUUAAUGAAAAUAAAAGUGGUGACUGCAUAUUACGUCUUCUUUUUUAUCGUAUUUUUUGACAUUAUUUCUUUAUAGAUUUUACUUUUCCCUCCUAAUUAUGUGAUUAUAGAAUAUUUGUGAUGUAUUUCGACAGUUCGUAUGAUUUUAUAUCGUAUUUACAAAAAUUUUAUAUUUUCGAGAAAUUAUUCAUUGACUAGUAACGUAUCUGCGCAUGCGCUGCGCAUGCGAAUCGUCUUAUCAGUAGAUGCAACGCCAUUUUGUGUUCAGUGCUUGACAGGUACACGCGGAAGCCGUAUCGUCCUCAUUAAUUUCAGGUUUCCAAGAAUUCUACGUACCGCAGCGAUGAGAUAUCCCGGCUUUCUUUUUCUACAUCUUUGUCCUUCGUCCUGUGUAUUAGCUCAAAUAAAAGAAGAAUCGUUUUCUUUGUCAUUACGGGGUAGAAUACUUAUCGUACAAAGAACCAGCAAACAUUCCGGUAAAUAAAUGUAACUUUACAUAUUUCCUCAAUAAAUUUAAUAAGUUUUUAAUAUGACAAUGAUACUAAUAAAUUGGGUUUUUGUUUUUUCUUCAGUUUAAACACAAGAAGAAUCACUCUUUUCAUCAUUACAGGCAGGAUGCUGUUUAUCAUGCGAAGAACCAGCAAACAUUCCGUUCAAAUAAAAAAAGAAUCAUCCUCUUCAUCAUUCUCGGGCAGGAUGUCCAUCUUGCAAGCAUCAACGAAGAUUUUAAAAUAUCAUUGCAACCAUGUACGAAGCAAUGAAUAAAUCGAGUGUUGUAUCGCUAAAACAAAAACUAAAAAAUCGCGAAAUAGAAGCAGUGCUUGCUCGUUUGUUUAAAUUAUACCGCGUUUCGCGAUUUAAAUUAAUUUUAAGUGUUUUUGUGUUGACUGCGUGCAAUGCAGUCAGUUAUAGAGUCAGUGUUUGCUCGUACAAAGUGACUUCAAUAGUCAUGUAGACUGUACUUAUAAAAGAUAGUAGAGCUUCGCGAAUUAAAUUCAGUUCGUUAAUAAAUAUCUAUCGCGAAUUAGAGUCAGUGCAUCACUGAAGAGGAUCUCGACCAACUUCGGUGUCUACCUACCUCAUUUUCAACCAGCUACGUAUCAUCCAACCUCAAUGUCGACCUAAAUCGCGGACGAGUGUUUUGGAGCCACCGUAGAACUUCUUAAGUAGUGAGUAAACAAAUUUUAAGUCCCUCCAGUGCUCAAUCAUGUCGAGGACGAAAGGUCCGAAUCGGCACGAGUUACUGGUUGUAAUUUUUUAAAUAAAUUAUUGACGAGCAUGACCGUGAGUAACUCCUCUUUUGGACUUACUCGCGAGUGGUAUAUUUUUAAUCGCUUAUGUGUUUUCAUUGUUUAUAUCUAUUUUAUUAGUUUAGGAUAGGGUCUUGUUUCAUAGAUUGGAUUAAUUAAUAGUGCAAUUAAUAAGCACUUUUUUUAUUCGU